AAAAGGAUUAACAAAAUUGAUGAAGUGUAGAAGCUAAUACUAUGGCGACAACCUUCUCCGGCCAACAUGUCCGGCAAAUUCCAGCCAUCACCACAGCCCUGCGUCGGCCGGCGGCAUUCCCCAAGCAGUCAUCACUAUCAAUCUCGAAACGGGUUAGCCCAUUGAAGUGCGUUAUGCAGAGAAGCUUUGUGGAACAAAGCGUGCCCAAAGGCGGUGCGGCCUCCAACUUGAAAGAGCUAAUCGAUUUCCUCUACGCCGACCUACCCCAUCUUUUCGAUGAGCAGGGAAUCGACCGCUCGAUGUACGAUUCCCGAGUUCGAUUUCGCGAUCCCAUCACGAAGCACGACACCAUCGAUGGGUAUCUGUUCAACAUCCGCCUCCUCAAGCUCCUCUUCUCCCCGCAGUUCCAGCUCCAUCGCGUGUGGCAGACAGGGCCAUUUGAGCUAACAACGAGGUGGACAAUGGUGAUGAAGUUUGUGCUUAUACCAUGGAAGCCGGAGUUGGUUUUCACUGGCGUGUCUAUCAUGGGUGUAAACCCUGAGAAUAUGAAGUUUUGCAGCCACGUGGAUCUAUGGGAUUCAAUUGAGAACAAUGAGUACUUCUCUUUGGAAGGUGUAGUGGAUGUUGCAAGGCAGCUGCGGUUUUAUAAGACUCCAGACUUGGAAACACCAAAUUACGAGAUCCUGAAAAGAACUGCCCAGUAUGAGGUUAGGAAGUAUGCAUCCUUCCUUGUGGCUGAGACUAAAGGAGAUAAGCUUUCAGGCUCAUCUGGAUUUAAUGAUGUUGCAGGGUACAUAUUUGGCAAGAAUUCCACAAUGGAAAAGAUUCCCAUGACCACCCCUGUCUUUACACAGGCUAAUGACGCUGAACUGUCGGAAGUAUCAAUCCAGAUAGUUCUCCCCAUGGAUAAAGAAUUAAGCAACUUACCUGAACCUAGUUUAGAAACAAUCAGCUUGAGAAAGGUAGGAGGCAUUGCUGCAGCCAUAAAGUUCAGUGGCAGGCCAGCUGAGGAUGUAGUUAGACAAAAAGAAAAAGAACUACGGUCUGCUCUGAUUCAAUGUGGUUUAAAUCCUAUCCGGGGUUGCGUGCUUGCUCGUUACAAUGAUCCUGGGCGGACAUGGAGCUUCAUCAUGAGAAAUGAGGUCUUGAUAUGGCUCAAGGAGUUCAGCCUAGAUUAGUAUUGUUUCCAAUUUGUAUACGUCAUUCAAAUGCACAGUACUUUCCAACAGCUACAGGAAUGAAAUAUUUGUUACACCGCCUAUGAUCAGCUCAAGGGCUCAGAUGGCAAAACCUUAAAGGUAAUCAAAGACAAGUACAAGUAGGGUGUGGGAAAGGAGCUUUUAUUCUGUACAGAGACCGGACGGGAGAACCGUCCAGUUAAGCACUGGGUACCCAACGAUAUCCAGCGAUAUCCAGCGGUACUGAGUGCCGGUACCGAGCUGGAUACCCACCAAAUUAGUUUUUAUAUUAUUAUAUGUUCAAAAUAUUUUUAUUGGAAGUUAAGUACACAAAAUAUAUCAUAAUAUAUAGUGUUAUACAUGUCAAAUUAGUACUCAUUGAUAAAGCAUGUUGCAGUUGCCCAAAGAUUACCUUCGGAGCUAUAAGUCAAUUUGAGUCAUGUAUAGUAAGUUGUUGACCGUGAA
This is an RNA transcript of Dendrobium catenatum, 1643 nucleotides long. RefSeq lists it as uncharacterized. The record is from RefSeq and is a predicted model, not a curated record. The transcript is spliced from 9 exons. NCBI's taxonomy places the organism in Eukaryota, Viridiplantae, Streptophyta, Magnoliopsida, Asparagales, Orchidaceae.